Molecule: ribosomal RNA, 434 nt
Filed under: uncultured bacterium
Lineage: Bacteria
Description: bacterial SSU rRNA
Rfam family: Bacterial small subunit ribosomal RNA
Source: RNAcentral
GCAGUGAGGAAUAUUGGACAAUGGGUGAGAGCCUGAUCCAGCCAUCCCGCGUGAAGGACGACGGCCCUAUGGGUUGUAAACUUCUUUUAUACUGGGAUAAACCUACUUACGUGUAAGUAGCUGAAGGUACAGUAUGAAUAAGCACCGGCUAACUCCGUGCCAGCAGCCGCGGUAAUACGGAGGGUGCAAGCGUUAUCCGGAUUUAUUGGGUUUAAAGGGUCCGUAGGCGGACUCGUAAGUCAGUGGUGAAAUCUCAUAGCUUAACUAUGAAACUGCCAUUGAUACUGCGGGUCUUGAGUAAAGUAGAAGUGGCUGGAAUAAGUAGUGUAGCGGUGAAAUGCAUAGAUAUUACUUAGAACACCAAUUGCGAAGGCAGGUCACUAUGUUUUAACUGACGCUGAUGGACGAAAGCGUGGGGAGCGAACAGGAUUAGA